CGAAUCGGGUCUCCUGGCGCUGCACCACGUCGGUCAGCGCGGUCACUUGCGCUUGCAACCGAUCGAACACGCUCGGUUCCUCCUGCUCGGGCACCUCAGGAGUCGGUGCUGGGGCAGUCCUACGCGUGUAGCGUCUUGGAGACAUUAGCCCCUGAAACGCAAUUGCUCGGUCAGUCAUCUUAACCAAUUACCUCGUCGCAAUUACGACACAUGACGACUCAUCAACACAAUCGGGCGGAAGCACACAAGUGUACUCGUUCUAGGCUCUUGGCAUCAUGUCGUCGGCCGCCGACACAACCACCUCAAGACAAGAACU
RNAcentral lists this long non-coding RNA (316 nucleotides) under Ananas comosus (pineapple). Its description in RNAcentral is "long non-coding RNA (ACOM_LNC042631)". The record is from RNAcentral. Lineage: Eukaryota; Viridiplantae; Streptophyta; Magnoliopsida; Poales; Bromeliaceae.